ACAGACUGGCAGGCCGGCCAGACAGACGGACAGGCUGACCCCGGCCCGGGGGAGCAGGCGCAGCGGCUGCGCAGGUAAUGUGAAAUGGUGAGACAUGAUUCCUCAGAGCUCUGUUAUCCCACAAGUCUGUGUCUACCAGCCGCACAAGGAAAAUCUUUCACGAGGUUCCUCUCAGUUCCUGUGGCAGACAGACUCUUGGGGAAGUUGCUCACCAUCCCACCUGCUGAUGUCAUGGCUUUCUGUAAUUCCUUCUGUUUGAGUGGUGGGGGUGGGUGGCUGCAGUGGUGCUGUGACUUGCUUCUCACUGGUAGAAUGCAGCAAAGGUGAUGAGAUAGGUGGGAUAGAUGGUGCCAUGUCAGCGAUGACAUGGGUAUAUUAUGUGACAGUGUGGGGCCGGGCACGGUGGCUCAAGCAUGUAAUCCCAGCACUUUGGGGGGCCAAGGUGGGCGGAUCAGGAGGUCAGGAGAUUGAGAACAACCUAGCUAACACGGUGAAACCCUGUCUCUACUAAAAAAUACAAAAAAUUAGCCAGGCGUGAUGGCAGGCGCCUGUAGUCCCAGCUACUUGGGAGGCUGAGGCAGGAGAAUGGCGAGAACCCGGGAGGUGGAGCUUGCAGUGAGCCGAGAUGGCGCCACUGCACUCCAGCCUGGGGGACAGAGUGAGACUCCGUCUCGAAAAAAAAAAAAAAAGAAAGCGUGGCACUUGUCUUGCUGAGUCUCCCUAUGCCUCUCCAUUGGUUUUGAAGAAGCAAGCUGGCAUGUGGCAGCCUGCGGAUGUUGGGAGGCCACACGGCAAGGAACUGCAGCAUCUCUAGGAGCUGAGGGUGGACCCUGACUGGCAGCCAACAACAAACUGAAGCUCUCAAGCCUACCACCAUAAGGAAUUGAAUUCUGCCAAUAACCUGAGUGAGCAUGGAAGCAGAUCCUUUCCCAGCCAAGCCUCAGACAAGGUUCUGGCCCUGGGAAACACCUUGACUGAAGUCUUGUGAGACCAUAGGAAGAAGACUUAGCUGAGCCAGUCUCAGAUCCUGACCCAUAGAACCUGUUAGAUACUUAGCAUGUGUUGUUUUCAGCCUCUGUGUUUGUGGUAAUUUAUUAUACAAUACAUACUGUUCCCCACCCUAAUACUUGAAACUCCUGACCCCAAUCCCUGUGCUCUAUUUACAACUCCAUGCCACCACUGGGGGAAUAAUCCCAUAAUAGUAUCUGUGUGUGGGUAGCUUUACCUGUCUGUAUCUACACAUAGAUCUUGUGACAGUAAAUUUUAUCUAUCAACUUGACUGGGCUAAAGGAUGCCCUUAUAGUUAAUUAAACAUUAUUUCUGGAUAUGUCUGACUAGCAGAGAUUAGCAUUUGGAUUGGUGGACUGAGUGAAGCAGAUGGCCCUCAAUGUCAUCCAAUCCUUGAGGGCCUGAAUAGAGCAAAAAAGGCAGAUGAAGGUUGAUUUUGCUCUUUGCCUGACUGCUUGAGUUGGGACAUUGAUCUCUUGCGCUUGGUGCUUUGGUUCUUAGGCCUUCAGACCUGAGCUGAAAUCUACACCACCGGCUCUCUGACUAUCAGGCUUUGGACUAUACUUUGGGCUUUCCUGGGUCUCUUACCUGGCAGACAGCAGAUUUUGGAACUUUUCAGCCUCCAUAAUCAUGUGAGCAAAAACCUUAUAACAAAUUAUCUAUCUAUCUAUCUAUCUAUCUAUCUAUCUAUCUAUCUAUCUACCUAUCAUCUAUCUAUCAUCUAUCUAUCUAUCUAUCUAUCUAUCUCUCUAUCUAUCUAUCUAUCUAUCAUCUUCUGUUGGUUCCGUUCUCUGGAGAACCCUGACUAAUACAAUUCAUAUUCAAUCACAGGCCUUUAGGAAGUACUUAAUAUGUGCUGAGCACAUACAGAGAUAGGUAAGUCCAGGGUAUCUCUGAGGUGCUCACAGUCUGAAGAGGAAAACAGCCCCAUGAUGCUUGAGCUGUGGAAGGCUCACCUGCAAGGGUGAGCUAGCUGAGGAAAUCAAUGUGUGUCCUGCACUGUAGAAAUCAGUUUGUUUCCCCAGGGUUAUUGCAUUAGAUUCUUAUAAACCUCUAAGGUAGAUGCCUUUUACAGAGAAGGGAGCUGAGCUCUAGAGAGGUUAAGGAACUUGCCUUAGAGGCAAGUCCACUUAGUGUGGGUCAGAUCCAGGAUUCUAACCCAGUUCUUCUGAUUUCAACUUAGUUGGAUAAUUAAAAUUGACUAUAUAUUUCCUUUGUGUUAACAGAUUCUACUGGAACUUCUAGCAGGCAAACUCACCUAGUGCUCUCUGGAAGGUGAUGUGGGUGGAACUCUGUCUGAUUCCAAUGUCUAGAUGCCAAUGAGCUCUCCACCAUCACCCCAGAGACAGGGGAAAGAAGAUAUAAGUAGACCUGGGCCUGUCUUCAUUCACUCUCAGUGAGCACACGGCAGGCAUUCAAGAAAUAUAGAGGCUGAAUUACAUUUUUUUUGAGGGUCUAAACUUUGCCCUCUGUGACUAGGUGUCAUUUGAUAUGGCAAUGAGAAUACAGAGCAGAGAUACUCAAACUCAGGAACCAAAAGAAUCAUCUGAAGAUAACUGUUAAAAUGCAGAUUCUAGGGUCCUCCCUCCAGAGAUUCCGAUUCAGUGGGGCCCAGGAGACAUUUUCAAUUAUACCCUCAGAUUAUUCUGACACAAGUCAAUCACAGAGCACAUGGCUACUUGUGACAAAAUCACAGCCAAGCUAGGUUGAGAUAGUUUGCCUAGACUCUGAUGUGGGUUGUUCCCAAACAUCCCCACUAAUGUUUAUAAUUCCUUUUCCUUAUGGGAGGGAGAGGCCAGUGAUGUGUUGGCAAAUGUUUAAUAACUGGAUCUCUGGUGGAAAAGAAAAAAAAUCCCUGAUUUGCAGCAUUUGCCAAUACCCAUGGUGUAAAUACUCUCACCGUGGCUGAUAGCAAGCUACCAACAGUAGCUUGUUAAGACUGAAUUGGGAAGAGAUGCACAUCAUUGGCCUUUGCAGGUCAGUAGGAGUCAGCUCCAGCAAUCAUUGGAGGGAGGCUGAAUAGGAGAGGAGAGGACUUACCUCCCUGGGCCUCAGUUUUCCCACUUAUAAAAUGAGAAUUCAUGAAGGUUCUGAUCUGUGACUCGAGACUAAUUUUAGGCCUUAGCUCAGGGGCCAUGUGGCCAAAGGAGGUGGUCAGGUUGCCAGGGCACUCAGGGAUGAGGAGGCAGAGUGGGUCAGCUCUGCUUCCUCCUCCCUUCUUGGAGAGGGUGGAGGAGCCCACAACCGGGUGAACAGAGGAGGGGCCUUGGAGUUGGUCCUGCCUCAAAUCUUGAACCAGAUGCUUACUAAAUUUCUGAGAGCCUGUUUCCCUAUCUAUAAACUGGGAAAAUACUACUGUACCUACCCCAUAGAGUGGUUACAAGAAUUAAAUGAGACAAAGUCUGGCAUGUGGUAAGGUUUCUGUAAACAUUAAUCUUUCUUCUUGUGACCAUUUCUUCCCCUGCCCAUGACAUUUAUUUCCCAAAUUCUGCCAGAGCCUGGUUAGACCAGUGGGCCAAUUUCAUUCAUAAGCAGAGUAGUAGGUCACCCAUCACUGUGCAAUUUGAGGUAAAGGUCCUUCAGGCAAAAAAUUAUAUGUGUAUACACACACACACACACACAGAUAUGUGUACAUAUAUUCUCCCACUGGUCUGUCAUAGACUCUGAACUUCCACUAUUUAAAUCUUUAUCAAUGCUCCAUAGCAAAAGACCACCAGGAACACACCCGUAGUCAAAGUUGGUAUUACUACAUGCUGCACAAAGGACAUAACACACCUUGGAGACCAUGGGGCAGCUCAGAAAGAGAGUACCAGGAGAGUUUUUCUCUGGGCCAGGUGCUGUCAGGGAGCAGUGGCAAUUCAGUGAUUAGGCAUUUUAAUUAUUUUUAUCUAAGAGGGGGACGAAUGGAAUGUGGCUAAGGCUGUCAUUGGUAAAGAAAUCACCACACUCAUGUUGACCAGGAGAGGGGGCUGUUUGGUAGUUUUAACGAUUUUGCAGUGUUCUUUUUUUUUCGGUUGUUGUUGUUGUUGUUGUUUUGUUUUGUUUUGAGAUGGAGUCUCGCUCUGUCGCCCAGGGUGGAGUGCAGUGGCACAAUCUUAGCUCACUGCAAUCUCUGCCUCCUGGGUUCAAGUGAUUCUCCUGCCUCAGCCUCCCAAAUAACUGGGAUUAUAGGCAUCCACCACCACACCCGGCUAAUUUUUGUAUUUUUAGUAGAGAUGGGGUUUCACCAUGUUGGCCAGGCUGUUCUUGAACUCCUGACCUCAAGUGAUCCCCCUACUUCGGCUUCCCAAAGUGCUGGGAUUACAUACGUGAGCCACCACGCCUGGCCAGGUUUUUCUCUGUAUUCAGACAUGGUGUGGAGUGAUCUUUUUUUGGUCUUGCUGCCUGUCUUAUGAUUAUAGAGGCUUUGCCUGGUGUCAGUGUUCUGGGAACAUGCUUAUGUUCAGCAGGAGAAUGCCAGGGCCUUGCUGUGAGUGCCAAGCCAGGACACUGCUGAUGCUGAUGGGGCUGCUGUUUUCUUUCUUGUCUUAUUCAUUUGCAAAACCUUUACUGAUGACUUUUACCACAGUCACACAUAUUAUCUCAUUUAAACCUCACAGCAACUCUGUGAGGGAUUGUUAUCUCCAUUUUAUGGAUGAGGAAGCUGACUCUGAGAGAUGACUUUCCAAAUUCAUCCAACUGGAAGAAAAAGGAAGUCUCUGGGGACUUGAAUCCAGAACUGUCCAGCUCCAAGUCCAGGGCUCACUCUAUUAAGCCACUCCAUGAGGAAUGAGUCCCUAAGGAGGCCACAGAAGGCCCUAAGCCCUCUUUUGUUCUCUGGAAGAGAGUGCCAUUUCUUGGCCCUUCCCAAGGCCUUGACAACUGAAGUUCCCAGAAGAACCACAAAGCAUAAAUUUCCCCAAAAGGGGAAUUUUGUUGAUGGCUUUAGUCUAUUCCCUCCUAAAAGACCAGCUACAACCAAAUGAAGUGAACAUAACCUCAAGGGUGUAUUGUCUUCAUAAUAAAAGAUGAAGCUUAGAACUGGAUCACUUGGCCCUUUCUCUUCUGACAUCCUCCCAGUUGA
This 5071-nucleotide long non-coding RNA is filed under the name Homo sapiens (human). RNAcentral's name for it is "non-protein coding lnc-FOXO6-2:9". The record is from RNAcentral. Lineage: Eukaryota; Metazoa; Chordata; Mammalia; Primates; Hominidae.